This 292-nucleotide ribosomal RNA is filed under the name uncultured bacterium. RNAcentral describes it as "partial 16S ribosomal RNA". The record is from RNAcentral. RNAcentral also lists the same sequence under 2 other names.
GGACUACAAGGGUAUCUAAUCCCGUUCGCUCCCCUAGCUUUCGCGCAUCAGCGUCAGAAGAGGUCCAGCAGGUCGCUUUCGCCACCGGCGUUCCUUCCGAUCUCAACGCAUUUCACCGCUCCACCGGAAGUUCCACCUGCCCCUACCUCCCUCCAGCCGGUCCGUACCCGGGGCACUGUUCCGGUUAAGCCGGAAGCUUUCACCCCGGACGCGAUCGGCCGCCUACGCGCCCUUUAAGCCCAGUGAUUCCGAACAACGUUCGCACGGUUCGUCUUACCGCGGCUGCUGGCAC